RNAcentral lists this long non-coding RNA (480 nucleotides) under Vigna radiata. RNAcentral's name for it is "long non-coding RNA (VRAD_LNC003110)". The record is from RNAcentral. Lineage: Eukaryota; Viridiplantae; Streptophyta; Magnoliopsida; Fabales; Fabaceae.
GUUGCUACUGUUUACGUAUCUGGUUGUAGUAUGUUCUGAACUGUUUUAAAUUGAUUCCCUGUGUUUGGACUUGAUGAUUAUAAUCUGUUUGAAUGGGCUGAAUGUUGGACCUGAAUAUGCUAAAGUGUGUUUUGAGUUGCUGGAAAUUCUAUUGUAUUGAUGAUCUGAUGAGGGGACAUGGGCUGUGUAUAGUUUUAGGAUCUGUGAGGGGAAGUAAGGUACUGAAUUUGGGGUGGUAGAUGUCUAGAACAUCGUAGAGCAAUUUCAGUAAGUUAAUUGAACCUGUUUAGGAGCCUUCUUUGUUGGUAGGAUAGAGAGAACCUAAAAAUCAGAGUCGCACAUCCCUGAUCAUAGAGCAGCUAAUUCUAAAUUAUUCAAAAACAAAGUUCCACAUUUCUCUAAGGAUUGUGGAGAAGGAAGUACAAGAAGCGAGCUAAUAAUCCAUUUUCAUAACCACUACUUUGACAAUUCUACUUUAUU